Molecule: long non-coding RNA, 1225 nt
Organism: Raphanus sativus (radish)
Lineage: Eukaryota; Viridiplantae; Streptophyta; Magnoliopsida; Brassicales; Brassicaceae
Exons: 2
Source: RefSeq, a predicted model, not a curated record
CUCUCAACCAUAUCUCUCUCUCUCGUUACUUCCAAAACCAAGCUUCUUCCUUAUUUUAUUUAUUUAUUUUUCUUUUAUUUCAGAUUUCGAAAACAUUAUCUCAUCAAUUUACUUUUCUCAAUUUCUAAUUUCCAACUCUAAUUCUCCUUUUCUCCUUCUUUCCUAUCGAUGGCCAUGGCAACUCAUCAACCCUAGAAAACAUUCGAAGAAUCUCAAACCCUUCAAUCGAAAAUUAGUUUGCGUCAUGGGUGACGAACUGAAAUCCAGGAUUCGCAAGGCCUCCACUCAAAAAACCGAGGAGAUUUAGAGAGUUAGGUGACGUAGUAGAGGAGACGUAAAAUCCGACGGAACAACUCAGGUGACUAAAGCAAUUAAUCCAUGAGGUUCAAAUUGAGACUUAAGAUGAGAGCGGCGAGCUUUCGAAGCUUGAGCAGAGAUCUGGGCAUUGUGGUGGAGACGCAGAGGAGAUGUGAGUUCCGACCAGAUUAAUUCCAGUGACUAAGACAGUGAAGGCGGUGGUAGAAUACAAUGAUGGUGGACACGGUGACAAGGUUCAGUCCCGUGGAAAAAGUGGUCGUGGUGGUUGAUGACGUGGUGGUCGUGGAUACGACAAUGGAGGUGGUUGUGGAUAUGAAGAGGCUGUGGUUGAAAGACGUGAGGGUGGGGAAUAAGGAGGUGAAGGGCUUGGUGGAGCCUCCACCGUGGAGGUGGUCCUGGAUACCACAAUGGAGGUGGUUGUGGAUUUUGAUGUUCUUAUGGAUGGUUCCUAGCUUUCUGUUUCCAGAAUCAUUGAACUAUUUGAUACUAAAGACUUUGCUUAUGUUAUGACCAAAGUCUCUUUUGGUUUGUCUUUACAGUUAUAGCUUCAUUUAUCUUCCUUUCUCGCCGGUGAGACAUCCAUGGAUUCCUAGCUCAAAAUCUUCGUAAAAAAUGGCUGCCGGUAACAGAGUCAAGUGUGGUCUCAUCCAGAAAGCACGUUGCAAGCUUUCCCUUCUGAUCUCCAAGCAUCUCUGCUCAUGAACAACCGAAGAAAUUUACAGCUAACAGUAACAUAUCUUUCUUUCUCUAUCUCUUAUCUGAUUUUUUAUUUUUUAUUUUUUAUUUGAUUUAUUUUGAGAUUUGUGCUUAGUUUAUAUUGGUCUAUCCAAUUUUUUUCGCUGAUUUUGGGCUCAUUACCAAGGAACUAUGUUGAUGUAGCUUUGUAGCAGUAUAGAGUGCUUGAAUA